UACGUAGGGUGCAAGCGUUGUCCGGAAUUAUUGGGCGUAAAGAGCUCGUAGGCGGUUUGUUGCGUCGGCUGUGAAAUCCCGAGGCUCAACCUCGGGUCUGCAGUCGAUACGAGCAAACUAGAGUGUUGCAGGGGAGACUGAAUUCUGGUGUAGCGUGAAAUGCGCAGAUAUCAGGAGGAACACCGGUGGCGAAGGCGGGUCUCUGGGCAUGUCCUGACGCUGAGGAAGCGAAAGUGUGGGGAGCGAACAGG
Molecule: ribosomal RNA, 251 nt
Filed under: uncultured bacterium
Lineage: Bacteria
Description: partial 16S ribosomal RNA
Rfam family: Bacterial small subunit ribosomal RNA
Source: RNAcentral